GCACUGGUGUAGCUCAGUGGUUACUUCGACCAUCAAUUCUCACUCGCAGAAUUCGAAUCGUCUCUAUCCCUCUGUGGGAUCGAACCACGGGUGCUGUCCAGUGCUUUU
This is a vault RNA of Sphaeramia orbicularis (orbiculate cardinalfish), 108 nucleotides long. Its record names the gene Vault. It matches the Rfam family "Vault RNA". Rfam says of the family: This family of RNAs are found as part of the enigmatic vault ribonucleoprotein complex. The complex consists of a major vault protein (MVP), two minor vault proteins (VPARP and TEP1), and several small untranslated RNA molecules. The record is from Ensembl. NCBI's taxonomy places the organism in Eukaryota, Metazoa, Chordata, Actinopteri, Kurtiformes, Apogonidae.